This 2683-nucleotide long non-coding RNA is filed under the name Capra hircus (goat). RNAcentral describes it as "lncRNA (ENSCHIG00010020974.1)". The record is from RNAcentral. Lineage: Eukaryota; Metazoa; Chordata; Mammalia; Artiodactyla; Bovidae.
UAUAUAAAAAGACACAAAUUGCCAUGUUAUGGUUCUGCCUUGAAACAGCACAAUGAAGUGUAUCAGUGUAUUCUGUGAUUCUUUAUGAAACUUCUAUGUUGUGUUGUUUUGUGUCUGCCGCAGGGUGUCCUUUGGGCCAGAUGUGGCACAGUUAAAUGCAAUUAUCAUCUCAUGAAAUGCAGAUGCAGAUAAAAUGUCUUUAGUGCUGCAACAUUUUACCUAACUUUUUGUAUGUUUCUGACUGUGCGUUAUUUUCCAAAGCUGUUCCUACCUCACCAUGAGGCUUUAUGGAUUGUUAUGUAUUAUAAAUGUUCUUUAUGAGACAGACUACUGUGUUUCUUCUCAUUUAUUAAAAGUUAAGUAGAAAAAUAAACUAAUUUUAAUAUCUACUUCAUUGUUUUGUGCAUAUGGCCUCAGUAGUUGUGGCUCACAGGCUUAUUUGCUCUGGAGAAUGGGGGAUCUUCCCAGACCAGGGAUUGAACCAAUAUCAUACUAUCCAUGAUUUCAGGCAACCACUGGGGGACUUGGAUGAGAGGAGACUAAAAGUGUGUGUGUGUGUGUGUGUCUGUGUGUGUUUGCAGAAUUAUUUGCUUUCUAUCAAAUAUAUCUGUGGAUAUCCAUGAAGUUACAGAUUCAAAGGCUCUUUACUAGAGUUUUUCCCAUGUAAGCGGGUUUUGUUGGGGGUAGAAGGAUGGUCAUUGGCCUGGGAGUAAAUGUUUCCUGGGGAAGACCUGCUUUGGGCAGUGGAGGUCACUGAGUUAAUGCUCAUCUCAAGCAAUUGAAGGCCUGCAGAGAUGAAAACCUGCACUUCAGCUGCCUCUGCCUCUGUCCUAAGGCUCCUCUGGUCAGUGUGGCCAAAGCAGAGUACUCAACUCUGGGAGUUAAGGAAAUAAAGUAAGUUUUAAUUACAAAAUUUAUAUGCAGAUGCAUUCUCCUAGUAAAUCAUUAAUGUAAUACUGACAAGGCUCAAGAAAGUUUCCUUCUAUUUGUUUUUUAGAAGUUGCUUUUUUUUUUUUUAAGUAAAGGNNNNNNNNNNNNNNNNNNNNNNNNNNNNNNNNNNNNNNNNNNNNNNNNNNNUUGUGCUUUAAUUGCUCUCCCCCUGAUCCUCAAUUUGGUAUCAUUCAAUACCUUUUCCUAUUUAUAUAGAAACAAAUACAUAGAUAUGAAUAUAUAUAUACCUAUAUAUAUAUGCAUAUACAGGUAUUAAAUUAAUGAGUAUUAGUAUAGGUAUUCAAGCCAUAUACACGUUAUAUAUGUGUGUAUAUGUGUGUUACUUACAUAUAAUUAAUACCUGUCUUAAUUUCUGCAGGAUUGUUUCUGUGGAGGUGUUUCCCAACUGAAUCAUUUUGCAACUUUUUGCAAAUCAACUGAAUCAUUUUGCAACACUUUGCAACUCCACAACACAUAGUUCUUAAAGAUCUACCUUUCCUUUUGUGGCUGAUGUACAGUGUUGUUCUGUUGUUUAGCCUGUAAGUCAUGUCAGACUCUCUUGCGACCCCAUGGCCAUGUUGCCUCGUGACGACUGUAUUUGGUCAGGUUCCUACUGAUAGAUGUUUGGGGUGGUCUAGUUUUUACUCUUGAAGGCAAUGCUUUAACGACUAUCUUUAACCACGUUUCCUCAUGCACAUGGAUCUGCCUUUUAAGAAAGUCCCUGAGGCACGUGGGAUCUUCCCAGACCAGGGAUCGAAUCCAUGUCCCCCGCAUUGGCAGGUGGAUUCUUGACUAUGGAACUACCAUGGAAGGCAAAGACUUAAGUCUCUUUUUAAAGACAAUGUUUUUAGAGAAGCUUUAGGUCACAGCAAAAUUAAAACGGAGGCACAGAGAUUUCCCACCUACCCCCUUACAUGCACAGCCUCUGCUACUACCAACAUCUCCCACCAGAGUGGUUCAUUCAUUACAAUUGGUGAAUUGACACUGAAAGGUCACAACCACCUGAAGUCCACAGUUGACCUUAGGGUUCACUCUUGGCAUUUGGCCAUAGUCUAUGUGUUUGGCCAAAUGUGUAAUGACACAUAUCCAUCAUUAUCCGUUGACUUUUCUGUCUUGAAUUUGGUAGAAAACUGAUCAUUUGUCCUGAAGAGCUUCCCACAUUCAAAAUGUAUCUGCCUCCACACCAUGUCUUUUAAUGCCCCUGAUAUUUCUUGAACGUAGUUAUAUUUGAAGUCUUUAUUAGAGUCAGGCUCAAAUUUGUGGGCAAGUUUAUCUGUGAUAUUUUUUUAAAUUAGUUAAUUGGUUUGGCUGCGUCAGGCCUUCAUUGCCAUGUGCAGGCUCAGUAGUUGCAGUGCUCAGGCUUGGUUGCCCGACAGUGUGUGGGAUCUUACUUCCUUGACCAGGGAACCUGCACCUCUUGCAUUGGAAAGCUGAUUCUUAGCCUCUGGACCACCAGGCAAGUGCCUCUAUGACAUUGUUUAAUGGGGUAAGUGGUGUAGGAAAGCUACUAUUUUUUUGUCUUGCUCUAUUUUGUAUUUGUACAUCUUGAUUUUGUAUUUGAGCAUCUUGUUAAAUUGUCUAAUUAGUUGUAAUAAUCUGUCAAUUAAUGUUCUUGAAUUUUCUAGACAAACCAUUAUCUCAUCUGCUAAAAAGGCCAGCUUUUUGUUUCUUUUCCAACAUUUGCACAUUUUAUAUGUUAACUGCACUGACUGGGGCAUCCUAUAAAAUGCUGAAGAGCAGAGGCAAUAUUUAG